UUUAUGGAGAGUUUGAUCCUGGCUCAGGACGAACGCUGGCGGCGUGCCUAAUACAUGCAAGUCGAGCGGACAAUUGAGAGCUUGCUCUCAAUUGUUAGCGGCGGACGGGUGAGUAACACGUGGGCAACCUGCCCUGUAGACUGGGAUAACUUCGGGAAACCGAAGCUAAUACCGGAUAAUCUUUUGGACCACAUGG
This 196-nucleotide ribosomal RNA is filed under the name Anaerobacillus alkaliphilus. RNAcentral describes it as "Bacterial small subunit ribosomal RNA". It matches the Rfam family "Bacterial small subunit ribosomal RNA", at positions 1 to 193 of the family's 1533-position model. Lineage: Bacteria; Bacillati; Bacillota; Bacilli; Caryophanales; Bacillaceae. The record is from Rfam by way of RNAcentral.